This 468-nucleotide ribosomal RNA is filed under the name uncultured bacterium. Its description in RNAcentral is "partial 16S ribosomal RNA". It matches the Rfam family "Bacterial small subunit ribosomal RNA", at positions 28 to 507 of the family's 1533-position model. The record is from RNAcentral.
GACGAACGCUGGCGGCUCGCUUAACACAUGAAAGUCGAACGGAAAGGCCCUGCUUUUGUGGGGUGCUCGAGUGGCGAACGGGUGAGUAACACGUGAGUAACCUGCCCUUGACUUUGGGAUAACUUCAGGAAACUGGGGCUAAUACCGGAUAGGAGCUCCUGCUGCAGGGUGGGGGUUGGAAAGUUUCGGCGGUUGGGGAUGGACUCGCGGCUUAUCAGCUUGUUGGUGGGGUAGUGGCUUACCAAGGCUUUGACGGGUAGCCGGCCUGAGAGGGUGACCGGCCACAUUGGGACUGAGAUACGGCCCAGACUCCUACGGGAGGCAGCAGUGGGGAAUAUUGCACAAUGGGCGGAAGCCUGAUGCAGCAACGCCGCGUGCGGGAUGACGGCCUUCGGGUUGUAAACCGCUUUCGCCUGUGACGAAGCGUGAGUGACGGUAAUGGGUAAAGAAGCACCGGCUAACUACGUG